CUUCUACCUCACUGCAGAGCAAAUAGUGUUUGUCAGUAGCAAGAUAGUCUUUUUGGAAAAGAAAUUCUUUAGUGAAGGAGCUAAUGUCUAUAAAAUUAAACUUGAUGAAGUUCAAGAGGUGGAAGGACCGACACACACAAAAUUAGAUUUUAUUGAAGAAUCAAAUCUGGAGCAAGUAGAGGUGCCAUUAAGGAGAUCCAGUAGAGUACCACG
Molecule: long non-coding RNA, 213 nt
Filed under: Elaeis guineensis (African oil palm)
Lineage: Eukaryota; Viridiplantae; Streptophyta; Magnoliopsida; Arecales; Arecaceae
Description: long non-coding RNA (EGUI_LNC047001)
Source: RNAcentral